UACGUAGGAGGCAAGCGUUGUCCGGAAUCACUGGGCGUAAAGAGCGUGUAGGCGGUCUGCCCAAGUCUGUUGUGAAAGCGCCUGGCUUAACUGGGCGAGGUCGACGGAAACUGGCAAACUGGAGGCCGGUAGAGGAGGGUGGAAUUCCCGGUGUAGUGGUGAAAUGCGUAGAGAUCGGGAGGAACACCAGUGGCGAAGGCG
Molecule: ribosomal RNA, 201 nt
Filed under: uncultured bacterium
Lineage: Bacteria
Description: partial 16S ribosomal RNA
Rfam family: Bacterial small subunit ribosomal RNA
Source: RNAcentral